GGGGGGAGCGAGCGUUGUUCGGAAUUACUGGGCGUAAAGGGCGCGUAGGCGGCCGAGUAAGUCGCGUGUGAAAGGCCGGGGCUCAACCCCGAGCACUGCACGCGAUACUGCCCGGCUAGAGAGAGGUAGAGGCGAGCGGAAUUCCCGGUGUAGCGGUGGAAUGCGUAGAUAUCGGGAAGAACACCUGUGGCGAAGGCGGCUCGCUGGGCCUUUUCUGACGCUGAAGCGCGAAAGCGUGGGGAGCAAACAGGGAUUAGAUACCCUGGUAGUCCACGCCGUAAACGUUGGGCACUAGGUGUCGGGAGGCUUGGUCCUCUCGGUGUCGUAGCUAACGCGUUAAGUGCCCCGCCUGGGGAGUACGGUCGCAAGGCUG
This 373-nucleotide ribosomal RNA is filed under the name uncultured organism. RNAcentral's name for it is "partial 16S ribosomal RNA". It matches the Rfam family "Bacterial small subunit ribosomal RNA", at positions 527 to 896 of the family's 1533-position model. The record is from RNAcentral.